UCCUUCUCUUCUUGUCGUUUCAGAGGACAGGUGUUUAUAUAUUGAUGUGCCUUCAGAUGAAGUACAUUUAUUGUUUUUUUCCCUAUCUGCCUUGUGCGAGCUAAAGGUCCCUGUUUUCAUUUGGAUGUGGAUUCUUUCUUGUUUUCUGUAUCAAUAUUCAGUAAAGCAUCAUGGCUCCCUAAAUGACAUUGUUUAACACUGAACGGUUACAAAGA
This is a non-coding RNA of Xyrichtys novacula (pearly razorfish), 215 nucleotides long. NCBI's taxonomy places the organism in Eukaryota, Metazoa, Chordata, Actinopteri, Labriformes, Labridae. The record is from the annotation of a GenBank genome assembly.